AACGAACGCUGGCGGCGUGCUUAACACAUGCAAGUCGAACGAGGACGGGGUCUUCGGACUCCUAGUAAAGUGGCGCACGGGUGAGUAACACGUGGGUAAUCUGCCCUCAGGUCCGGGAUAACGAAGGGAAACCAUCGCUAAUACCGGGUAAGACCACGAUUCUGCGGAGUCGAGGUAAAAGGUGGCCUCUGCUUGCAAGCUUCCACCUGGGGAUGAGCCCGCGGCCCAUUAGCUAGUUGGUAGGGUAACGGCCUACCAAGGCGACGAUGGGUAGCUGGUCUGAGAGGACGAUCAGCCACACUGGGACUGAGACACGGCCCAGACUCCUACGGGAGGCAGCAGUGGGGAAUAUUGCGCAAUGGGCGAAAGCCUGACGCAGCAACGCCGCGUGUGUGAUGAAGGCCCUCGGGUCGUAAAACACUGUCAGGAGGAAGAAGGCUCCGUCGAGUAACUGCGGCGGAGCUGACGGUACCUCCGGAGGAAGCACCGGCUAACUACGUGCCAGCAGCCG
RNAcentral lists this ribosomal RNA (511 nucleotides) under uncultured bacterium. Its description in RNAcentral is "bacterial SSU rRNA". It matches the Rfam family "Bacterial small subunit ribosomal RNA", at positions 29 to 517 of the family's 1533-position model. The record is from RNAcentral.